RNAcentral lists this long non-coding RNA (215 nucleotides) under Elaeis guineensis (African oil palm). RNAcentral describes it as "long non-coding RNA (EGUI_LNC077068)". Lineage: Eukaryota; Viridiplantae; Streptophyta; Magnoliopsida; Arecales; Arecaceae. The record is from RNAcentral.
GGGCCAGAAGGAAGGAGAAGGAGAGGGACUUAUCGGAGGUGGUGGCGACAGCGAUGGCAGCAGCCAGUCGGACGGAUUCUGGAGGUAUCUCACCCGAAGACUCCCAAAACAGGGCGAUGAUGGGUCUAAACAAAGAAAUUAGGGUUUUAGGGAGGUAGCAGCGGCAAUGGCAUGGCAGCACGAUGACCAUCGCGGAUGGGGAAAAGGGAUGAGGG